CAGGAUGGGGACGAACAGACGGAAACGACUGCUAAUACCGAAUAAGUUCCAAGAGCCGCAUGGCCCAUGGAAGAAAAGGUGGCCUCUACCUGUAAGCUAUCGCCUGAAGAGGGGUUUGCGUCUGAUUAGCUGGUUGGAGGGGUAACGGCCCACCAAGGCGACGAUCAGUAGCCGGUCUGAGAGGAUGAACGGCCACACUGGAACUGAGACACGGUCCAGACUCCUACGGGAGGCAGCAUG
This 240-nucleotide ribosomal RNA is filed under the name uncultured bacterium. RNAcentral describes it as "partial 16S ribosomal RNA". It matches the Rfam family "Bacterial small subunit ribosomal RNA", at positions 133 to 353 of the family's 1533-position model. The record is from RNAcentral.